RNAcentral lists this transfer RNA (76 nucleotides) under Caudoviricetes sp. RNAcentral's name for it is "tRNA-His". It matches the Rfam family "tRNA". Rfam says of the family: Transfer RNA (tRNA) molecules are approximately 80 nucleotides in length. Lineage: Duplodnaviria; Heunggongvirae; Uroviricota; Caudoviricetes. The record is from RNAcentral.
GCGGAUAUGGUGAAGAGGUUAACACAAGCGGCUGUGAACCGCUCAUUCGUGGGUUCGAGCCCCAUUAUCCGCCCCA